AACAAGGAUUCCCCUAGUAACGGCGAGUGAAGCGGGAAGAGCUCAAAUUUAAAAUCUGGCGGUGUAUUCCGUCCGAGUUGUAGUCUAGAGAAGCAUCAUCCGUGCCGGACCAUGUACAAGUCUCUUGGAACAGAGCGUCAUAGAGGGUGAGAAUCCCGUCCUUGACAUGGACUCCCGGUGCUUUGUGUUGAGCUCUCAACGAGUCGAGUUGUUUGGGAAUGCAGCUCAAAAUGGGUGGUAAAUUCCAUCUAAAGCUAAAUAUUGGCGAGAGACCGAUAGCGAACAAGUACCGUGAGGGAAAGAUGAAAAGCACUUUGGAGAGAGAGUUAAACAGUACGUGAAAUUGUUAAAAGGGAAAC
RNAcentral lists this ribosomal RNA (359 nucleotides) under Ceratobasidiaceae sp. CBS 502.93. RNAcentral's name for it is "eukaryotic LSU rRNA". It matches the Rfam family "Eukaryotic large subunit ribosomal RNA", at positions 67 to 420 of the family's 3401-position model. Lineage: Eukaryota; Fungi; Basidiomycota; Agaricomycetes; Cantharellales; Ceratobasidiaceae. The record is from RNAcentral.